RNAcentral lists this long non-coding RNA (1620 nucleotides) under Pongo abelii (Sumatran orangutan). Its description in RNAcentral is "lincRNA". Lineage: Eukaryota; Metazoa; Chordata; Mammalia; Primates; Hominidae. The record is from RNAcentral.
GUCCGGAGCACUCCUUCCCUUCCCGGGUUCCUCAAGGCACGGCUCCCCCAGGCAGAUGAAAGCUUAAUGGAGUUUUGCGAUAUGAAAGUCAGUCGGAGGAAAGAGCCUUGAACAGUUCUGCAUGAGAGCGAGGCAAGCGCCCGAAAUUAUUUUACCACAAAGGCAGCGCUCUCUGCCACAAAGGCACGGAGGAGAAAGGAGCCCGGGAAACGGGUCAUUUCUUUCGUGGAAAAAUGGAAACUGUUCUGAAGCAUUUUGGGAGACGUGCUGUGAAGUAGGUGACACCGGAAGACGAGGACACUGGGGGCUCCCUGCCAGGAGGUGCAAAAAGCAACUCCCGUUCAAGGGUCAGAGGAGCCUGGAUGCUAAUGUCUCUCCAAGGUGACUUGGAGCCAACUGCCGGAAAGGCCACACCCUUAGGAACAUAGGUAGGUCCCAGCUCAGGGAUGUGCUGUGUGACCUUCUUCAAGUUCCCGACCCUCUCUGGGCUGCAGUCACCUUAUUCAGAAAAUGGAGAGGCUAGGCAAGAAAAUGAUGCUAAUCUCACCCUUUUCCGAGCUGGCAUUUUAUUGAGCACCUACUAGGCGCUGGGCAUUUUGCUAGGCCCUUCGUGCACACUGCCAUGAGAAAUCCACAGCAACCCCAGAGAUGGGUUCAUCAAUAACUCACCAGCAAAUACUUCCUGAGGCCCCACUGUGUGCCGAGCAUGGGCAUAGGUACUGGGCACACCUUGAUGAACAAGGGAGGUAAAGAUGUGACUCUCCUAGACCUUUCUGUCUAGAAGAGGAGAUGGAGAAUAAACAUGGAAACAAGCAAGAUCAUUCUGGAGAAAAUGCAAUCAGAUGAUGUGCUAGAUGGUAACAGAGAGAGGCCGCAUGAGAGAGAGGGCCGUGACAGCCUCUCUGAGAAGCUGAAAUCCAAGCAGAACCCGAAAGACGAGGAGAAACUCAGAUACAUAAAGACUGGGAAAAGCAUUCAAGUAGAGGGAACAGUGUGUGCAAAGGCCCUGAGGUGGGUGCAAUAGAUACCACAGGCCCCCUCACUCGAGACCACUCCAAGCACCUCCUGCCCUCUUGUGCCACAGAGCUCAGAAAGCUAAAGCAAUGUUCCCCAGAGGUCCUGUGGCCAAGGUCCUGCAUGGGCCUGGGUGACCCCUGCAGAAGCUUCUGAGGAAGACUGAGCAGGGAAAGAAAGGCCAUGUCAGAAAACCACCCUCCAGUGAGCAUGGAGGCAGAGAGUCUCAUCCUGGCAUCCCAGGUGCUGAGCAGAGCAGACAGCAGCAGAGGGGCUCCCUAGAGCAGCUGGGGGCCCUGCCUGUGCCGUCGCUCUUUCCCCUCCCUGCCCUCUGGUCUGACAUCCCAUUGGCAUCACACACAAUGCCUCCCCGAGGCGCUUUUGUGCACAGAGCAGGUCAAAGUGCCAGAGAAUUAGAUCCUGUCCUCUUGGGAACAGCCCUCAGCCAGCAGUGAGCCCUUAGGAAGAUGCUCCAAGUUCUGUCCUCCCCGGGUCCAGAGGCCCUGGGAUGGAGCGCCAUUGUGGAAGCAGUGACAGCUUGAUGAAGCUCCCUGGGCUGGCCCCUUCCUCCCUGCCUUGUUCCCCGUUCCCUGCAGUCCUGCAAUC